ACUACGUGUAGUUUUUAAGCUACUCCCACAUGUAUGCUUCACUUUUUUUCUCUUCUAAUAUAUCGUAUACAAUGGAGUUACAGAGCUUACUCAGAGCUUACUCAGAUUUUCUACUGUCUUCUCAAAUCUCUUCAACUUGCAGCAGAUUAAGAGGUUGAACAUACCCAACAUGGUGCUAAUGUGAAUACAAUGAUCAGGAUCUGUAAGGGCUUGCCUGUUCGCAUAUCUUUUUUUUUUUCCUUUUUCAUGUUGGAUUAAAGAGACUCUAACAAUAUCUUUGUUGUAUUUGAUCGUGCAGGUAUGUCUUAUUUUAGAAGCUACCUCACGCAUAAAGUAAUAUGAAAGUAAUAUGAUGGUUAAUAUAAGAUAGUAUCAUAACAGUUGAAACUUGCUGAUAGGUUUAUUUCUUUUUAAGUAAUAUGUAUCCGGUCUAUUUGGAAUAUGGCAUUUAUGAGGAUGAAUCUCACUAAUAAGUUGUCUGAUGUUAAUACUCCUGGUGGAAAUUUUCAUCUUAUAUAUACAUUCUCUACGCUUCAGGUCAUAUCUGUACUCUUGGUGGUCUGUUAGGUUUCCAGAGCAUUGUUCUCACUCUUUCUCUAUUGUAGCCUCUGGAAUCACAUAAGUUUCCUUAGGGUUCAAUUAUUGGGUUUUAGCUCAGGUAAUCUGCUUCAAUUUGAUUCCCGUGAUUCUUUUUCUGCGAUGCGUUUCUUGGUAUUACAAUACAAAAUAGGGGUACUACAUACAUUUCACUUAUGUGAGGUUACCUGUCUUCUAAUCUGAACCACCACGUUUGCUGUAUGAUCUAUCUUCUCAAAGAUUCUUUCUCACUUGGUAAACCAAUAUUUAAGUUCUAAACGCCAAUUUUCUCAUCUCGCAUCGUCUCUAUGCUUCUCCCAUUAGAUCCAUCAACAUUAGAUUUCACGCCCUAUUUUGACAUGGUGCUUUGUAGGAUCUUUUCCGCAAUUUUUACUAAGUAGUAAUUGUUUUAGUUACUUCUUCUGUUCACCUUUAUGUUUUGUGGCAAAAAGUUUUGAUUGGGGUGUUUUUGGUGUUUAGUAGAACUGUUUUGAAUAUGUGAAGAAAGACCAGAUCUUAUAACGCUCUCAAAGUGAGUUUUCCUAUCCAACUAUCCCAAUUUUGUGCUUACUCCUAUUUGGAAAUUCUCAAUACACUACUAGAAUUGGAGAUAGAUUUUGAGGAGGUUUCAGGUAAGGUUCACCUCAUAUCUUAAAAGACCCAAUGCAAUUUUGUUGCUUUACUGUACAUAGAGACUUGGGUCGUUAUACCUCAUUCGUCUUACCUGUUAAGAUUUAAAAGACAUGAAUAGCCUUUCUACUUUCAGAAGUUCAAAAUAGAUCACACACCGUGUGAACUGCAUAAAUAUCUGGUAUGAAACUCAAUCUCUUAUGUUAGAUUCAUAAUCAAUACACUUGUCAGUUCUCACAGAUUUAUGUAUCAACCUCUAUUAUUUGAGCUAUGAUAAACAAUUAUUUCAAGUAAAAGUGCAUUAGAUUAGAUUAGAACUCUUGAUAUUACAUAAUCUGAAAUGAAGGUAAUAAAAAAAGGACAAAAUUAAUACUUCAGCCAACCCUAAUUUAUCUUCUUAAGGGAGAUCUAUAAUUCCAGAUUAAAGUAUUGAAUGUUGGUUUAGAUAGAGUAGUACACUUUUAGCCACCAUCGAAUAGAAUUAGAUAAAAAAGAAAGAAAGAAAGAAUAGAAUUAGGAAUAUUCUACUUUAGUAUACACCCUUAUAUGAGUAUGUGAUGCAUACCGACCUAUCUUUCAAAGAUAUUCUUUGUUCAAAUACAACAACUAGGUGAAUAGGCAAUGCCUCUACAUAGCCAGAUAAACAUCAGUUUAAGUAGAAGAACAUUAGGUGCUUAAAUCAUAAACAGGAAAUUUUUUGAUUUACUGAUUAUGCAUGUGUAUCUUUUUUCCUACUAUUUUGUUUAGCUAUCUUUUAUGGCUAUUUGCUACAAUACAAUAAAGCUGUAAAGUUUAUUCUUUUAAAACCCUUUUUAGCCCUUUCUUUUGUGUAGUGGGCGAUUGAAGAAUGAGGGGGUUGAAGUAACUAUUUAUUUGGAAUUGUAAUUUCGAGCCUUUGAUCUUGUACUUAUCAUUCCUAAUUGUCUAUGUGAUGACCUAUUGAACAACCUAAGUGUAUAUGAGUAAUAUCAUUGAACUCAAUUGGGAAUCUUUGCUCUAUAUUACUAAAUUUAAACCAUAAAUUUAUGGUUAAAUAUGCUAUUAUAAGUUUAAAGCACGUGCUAGCUAUUGUUCUGGUCCACUUAUGGUAGGAAAUAUCAGUUACUUUUUGACAAGGACAUGCUACUUUGUUCAGUGAUUAUGGAUUUAACCUACUUUGAUUCUAAUAUUUUCUAUUUUUUCAAGUUGAUCUUGGUUCUGCAAUUGUGAAGAGUUCGACUUAUUCAUACUAGAUGUAAGCUAUAUACUUAAUUCUCCAGUAGUUGGUCUACGUCUGGUAGCUUGUCUACCUCUAGAACCAAUGCAUUAGUAAUAAUAAGAUGAUAUCACUAUGAGAUGGAAGAAUUUGUAUGGUGUUAUCCAACGGCACUGUCUCUGAUUUACCUUUUCAUUGUAGCUUCUUUUGGAUAUGCACAUAUAGACAUAGAGGGAAAUUCGAAAGGGUGAGCAAGAUGAUAUUUGUUGUCAUUGUUUUGUAAACCAGCUUAUAUCUAUUUUGAAUUCUAAAAUAUUUGAUUGCUCAUUGUGAUCAUCGCAAAUAUACAUUUCUAUAAGUUGUUGUGCUUCUGCUAAAAAUGACAUUGUAUUUCUUGGUGCAUCUGUACUAUAGAAAAGACAUAUUAUAUGGUAUUGAAACAAAAAAAUCCUAAAUAGAGUGGAACGGAUAUAGAUCAUUCAUAUCAUUGAUCCCCAUUAGUUUGGUAUUGAGUCAUCUUUGAGUGACUGAUUAAUUAUCUUUUCUAGAAUGUAGAAAUAUCUUGCUUCUUUGUAGUUGGUUUAAAGAAUUUACUUUAUCUAAUUUCAGAUGUCGAGUUGUCAAAUAACAGACAGACGAGAAUUUUGACUUGCCUCCCUUUUUUCUUUAGGUUUUCUUGGUACUUUUGCCAUGCUCAGUCUGUCGUUCGGCCACAACUUACAACUUGCAUCUGCUUUGUUGUGCCUGAUGGGUGGUAGUGCUACGCAGGCAAUAGCAGAUGUUACUAUUGAUGCCUGUGUCACAGAGAACAGUAUAAGCCAUCCUUCUCUUGCCAGUGACAUGCAAAGCUUGUGUGGAGUGAGUUCUUCAAUCGGGCAACUGAUUGGGUACACUGUCAGUGGAUUUUUGGUUCAUCUAAUUGGAUCUAUGGUUUGGUAUCACUGGCUUAAUUCGAUCAUUAUUGAUGGAAUAUUGAGCUAGAGUUUCGACGUGUGAGCUUAGUGUCAUUAAAUUUAUAGUUGAGGGUAUUGUUGACUUUAUACUUAUACAUGCCUUCCAGUGGCAAUAGAACAACCACGUCUAUUUAUAUCCAGUUCGUUAGUUGAUUGGAGUAUAGUGAUGAUUCCAGGUAUAGUGAAUGAACCGCUGCAUAGUUGGGCGUAGAGAAGGAGGAGAAGAUGCAAGAUAUGUUUUUUUCUCUGUCUUCUUCUCCUGAGACGAGUUGCUAAAGGGCGUACUGGCGAAACUAUAAUGCAAGAUAUGUAAUUUAUCUUCCUAUUUAUUCCUCUAAGUUUCUGAAUAAUUUUAAUGAAGAUGUUGUUCUCAUA
Nicotiana tabacum (common tobacco) is the source of this 3729-nucleotide non-coding RNA. Lineage: Eukaryota; Viridiplantae; Streptophyta; Magnoliopsida; Solanales; Solanaceae. The record is from RefSeq and is a predicted model, not a curated record.